UUAAUAGACGCUGGGGAGUACGCCGCAAGGUUAAACUCAAAUGAUUGACGGGCCGCACAGCGGUGGAGCAUGUGGUUAUCGAUGCACGCGAGACCUACCUGGUCUGACAUCCACAGAACUGGCAGAGAUGCGUGGUGCUCGGGAACUGUGAGACAGGUGCUGCAUGGCUGUCGUCAGCUCGUGUCGUGAAAUGUGGGUUAAGUCCCGCAACGAGCGCAACCUUAUCUUUGUGCCAGCGGUCCGGCCGGGAACUCAAAGGAGACUGCCAGUGAUAAACUGGAGGAAGGUGGGGAUGACGUCAAGUCAUCAUGGCCUUACGACCAGGGCUACACACGUGCUACAAUGGCAUAUACAAAGAGAAGCGACCUCGCGAGAGCAAGCGGACCUCAUAAAGUAUGUCGUAGUCCGGAUUGGAGUCUGCAACUCGACUCCAUGAAGUCGGAAUCGCUAGUAAUCGUGGAUCAGAAUGCCACGGUGAAUACGUUCCCGGGCCUUGUACACACCGCCCGUCACACCAUGGGAGUGGGUUGCAAAAGAAGUAGGUAGCUUAACCUUCGGGAGGGCGCUUACCACUUGUGAUUCAUGACUGGGGUGAAGUCGUAACA
RNAcentral lists this ribosomal RNA (605 nucleotides) under uncultured bacterium. RNAcentral's name for it is "bacterial SSU rRNA". It matches the Rfam family "Bacterial small subunit ribosomal RNA", at positions 874 to 1493 of the family's 1533-position model. The record is from RNAcentral.